Molecule: ribosomal RNA, 495 nt
Filed under: uncultured bacterium
Lineage: Bacteria
Description: partial 16S ribosomal RNA
Rfam family: Bacterial small subunit ribosomal RNA
Source: RNAcentral
UGACCGCUGGCGGCGUGCCUAAUACAUGCAAGUCGAGCGAACAGACGAGGAGCUUGCUCCUCUGACGUUAGCGGCGGACGGGUGAGUAACACGUGGAUAACCUACCUAUAAGACUGGGAUAACUUCGGGAAACCGGAGCUAAUACCGGAUAAUAUAUUGAACCGCAUGGUUCAAUAGCGAAAGACGGUUUUGCUGUCACUUAUAGAUGGAUCCGCGCCGCAUUAGCUAGUUGGUAAGGUAACGGCUUACCAAGGCAACGAUGCGUAGCCGACCUGAGAGGGUGAUCGGCCACACUGGAACUGAGACACGGUCCAGACUCCUACGGGAGGCAGCAGUAGGGAAUCUUCCGCAAUGGGCGAAAGCCUGACGGAGCAACGCCGCGUGAGUGAUGAAGGUCUUCGGAUCGUAAAACUCUGUUAUUAGGGAAGAACAAAUGUGUAAGUAACUAUGCACGUCUUGACGGUACCUAAUCAGAAAGCCACGGCUAACUACGUG